Long non-coding RNA from Carya illinoinensis, 1446 nucleotides. RefSeq lists it as uncharacterized. Lineage: Eukaryota; Viridiplantae; Streptophyta; Magnoliopsida; Fagales; Juglandaceae. The transcript has 5 exons. The record is from RefSeq and is a predicted model, not a curated record.
UCCCGAGUUUUCUCUCUCAAUUCAUACCCAUUCUCUAUUCUAUAUCUCUACCUCGCGUCCCUUAAUUUUUCUCUGUCUUGCUGAAACCCAAACCACCAAAACUGUGAGACCUAGCCCCAAUGCCUGCAAUUUCUUUUAUUCUCGGCUUCAUAUGCGUCCCGAGUUAUCUCUCUCAACUCAGACCCAUUCUCUAUUCUUUCACUCUACCUUGUAACCCUCAACUUCUCUUUGUGUUGCUGAAACCUAAACUACCGAAACUGUGAAACCCAGCCCCAGAUUUUGAUUUGUUCAAUCUGUGGGAAUUUUGAAGUCUUUGGGCUUUUUGAGCUAUUAAUUUCUUUGGUUUCAGGUUGAUAAUGACAAUGCCUUGGAGAAAACGACUACAACUGUGGUUGAGAAUUCUAAGGAAUCUUGUAGGCUUGCGACAUUGGAAAAUGCUUUGACCUUCGGUGACAUCGUCAGCCCUGGGAAGAGCGAGGAGGCCCUUGUUGCGGCAACGAUCGGUCAGGGUGUACAUUUCUCUCUCUCUGUGAAGAUUUUUUCUCUAUUUGUGUAUUUUGAAUUGUGAUUUUUAUUAAAUAUUAAAAAAUUUAGAAUUUUGAGAUUUGCUUUUGGUUUUGAAGGGGCUACGUCAGCUGUAAUGGUGGAUAAGCAGAAGGGUUUGUUCUCUUCGUGGAGUGUAUACCAGAAGCGUAACAACCCGGCGACGACCUUCGACCUCGAUACUGUGGUGAAUGCUUCUAUCACAGUCUGCUCAGAAUCGAAAUGUUCCCAUCAACACAAAGACCUUUGUGAUUGGUUCAAGUAGAAACUGCUAUUUUCCUUUGGACGAUCAGAGUGUUAACAGGCAUCUAUAGAAUCAAGCACACAACAGGAUGUCUACAAAUGUGACGCGAAGAAAACCCUCAGUCGAUCUCCAUUGCAAUAGAUCGCCAUCACUAGUUGCAUAUAUGGGCUAACCUAGAGAAAUUAUGUUAAGGAAUGAAGUCGCCUUUGACUUCUGGUGGAGCUUGACUGGUACAUAUUCUAUGUGUUCAAUUGAAAUUAAAAAUAUGGGCCUACUCUACAACAGAAACCGACAUUUCAAUGGAGCAGAGGCUGAAGAGAAUGCACACGAUGCUGAAAUUGAAAGGAGAAUUGAGGAAGAAACAAAAGUUGAAAAGCACAUCCAGAAACUUCUAUUACUUGCUUCCAUGGAAGAGAAAAGAAGAAGACCAUGAAGAGAUGUGGAAGUUUGGACUCUCAUUAGACUAGAAAAGAAGUGAGAGCAGCAAAGGAAAUUGAGUGUUAACUAGACAAAAGACGUUGCUUUUGUGCAAUUUUAAAGCAAAAAAAGAGUUACUUAUAAGAGAAAGGAAACUGAGUUUAUAAUUUUAAUUGUUGAGAAGUUUAUGUGGUUUGUUCACUACAAUUAGAACAUUGUAUUCCCUCCCCCCCCCCCCCCCC